AGUAAGUCAGACGGUUGCGGGCAUAAGCCGUAAGGCUGUGCAUGAGGAAAGUCCGGGCUCCAUAGAGCAAGGGUGCCGGGUAACACCCGGUGAAGGUGACUUCAAGGAUAGUGCAACAGAGAAUGAAUGCCUGAUUUUUCAGGCGAUUGUGGAAAUGUGCGGUAAGAGCGCACAGGGAUGAUGGUAACUGAAAUCCCGUGUAAACCCCAUCCGGAGCAACUCCCUAUAAUGGAAAUGUUAAGUCUGCUCGGCGUGUUUUCGGCAGGGAGGCUGAAGAUGCAUAGUAAUGUGCAUCGUAGAUAGAUAAUCGUCCGAUACAGAACCCGGCUUACAGACUUGCUCAU
This 344-nucleotide RNase P RNA is filed under the name pig gut metagenome. RNAcentral's name for it is "Bacterial RNase P class A". It matches the Rfam family "Bacterial RNase P class A". From Rfam's summary of the family: Ribonuclease P (RNase P) is a ubiquitous endoribonuclease, found in archaea, bacteria and eukarya as well as chloroplasts and mitochondria. Its best characterised activity is the generation of mature 5'-ends of tRNAs by cleaving the 5'-leader elements of precursor-tRNAs. The record is from RNAcentral.